This 253-nucleotide ribosomal RNA is filed under the name uncultured bacterium. RNAcentral's name for it is "partial 16S ribosomal RNA". It matches the Rfam family "Bacterial small subunit ribosomal RNA", at positions 524 to 776 of the family's 1533-position model. The record is from RNAcentral.
UACGUAGGUGACAAGCGUUGUCCGGAUUUACUGGGCGUAAAGAGCUCGUAGGCGGCUUGUCGCGUCGACCGUGAAAACUUGGGGCUCAACCCCAAGCCUGCGGUCGAUACGGGCAGGCUCGAGUUCGGUAGGGGAGACUGGAAUUCCUGGUGUAGCGGUGAAAUGCGCAGAUAUCAGGAGGAACACCGAUGGCGAAGGCAGGUCUCUGGGCCGAUACUGACGCUGAGGAGCGAAAGCGUGGGGAGCGAACAGG